UGGGUAACCUGCCUCAAAGAGGGGAAUAGCCUCCCGAAAGGGAGAUUAAUACCGCAUAAUAUGUUUUAGUCGCAUGACUUAAACAUCAAAGGAUUUUCUUUUAGAAAUUCCACUUUGAGAUGGACCCGCGGCGCAUUAGCUAGUUGGUGAGGUAACGGCUCACCAAGGCGACGACGGGUAGCUGGUCUGAGAGGAUGGCCAGCCACAUUGGGACUGAGACACGGCCCAGACUCCUAGGGAGG
RNAcentral lists this ribosomal RNA (242 nucleotides) under uncultured bacterium. Its description in RNAcentral is "partial 16S ribosomal RNA". It matches the Rfam family "Bacterial small subunit ribosomal RNA", at positions 118 to 348 of the family's 1533-position model. The record is from RNAcentral.